This 402-nucleotide ribosomal RNA is filed under the name uncultured bacterium. Its description in RNAcentral is "bacterial SSU rRNA". It matches the Rfam family "Bacterial small subunit ribosomal RNA", at positions 356 to 773 of the family's 1533-position model. The record is from RNAcentral.
GGGGAAUAUUGCACAAUGGGCGCAAGCCGGAUGCAGCAACGCCGCGUGAGUGAUGAAGGCCUUCGGGUUGUAAAACUCUGUCCUAUGGGAAGAAUAAAAUGACGGUACCAUAGGAGGAAGCCCCGGCUAACUACGUGCCAGCAGCCGCGGUAAUACGUAGGGGGCAAGCGUUAUCCGGAAUCACUGGGCGGAAAGGGUGCGUAGGUGGCUUAUCAAGCCAGAGGUGAAAGGCAUUGGCUCAACCAAUGUAAGCCUUUGGAACUGAUUAGCUUGAGUGCAGGAGAGGUAAGUGGAAUUCCUAGUGUAGAGGUGAAAUUCGUAGAUAUUAGGAGGAACACCAGUGGCGAAGGCGACUUACUGGACUGUAACUGACACUGAGGCACGAAAGCGUGGGUAGCGAAC